RNAcentral lists this long non-coding RNA (774 nucleotides) under Fukomys damarensis (Damara mole-rat). Its description in RNAcentral is "lncRNA (ENSFDAG00000021892.1)". Lineage: Eukaryota; Metazoa; Chordata; Mammalia; Rodentia; Bathyergidae. The record is from RNAcentral.
CAUCGCCCAGGAAGAACAUCUUCCAGCGACUUUAAACUACACUUCCCAUGAGGACAAGGGCUUAAGCCUCAGGCUUUCCGGUGACUAGUAACCAAUAGGAAGUGCUGAAGCAGCCACCGUAUUUGUGGGAGUGCAGCCUGGAGCCCAAGUCCUGGGUCUAGGAUGAGUAGCGCGAAGCGCAGAGUUGAGAAGACAGUUGUAUUGCAAGGGACGCCGCGAGGGCACUCUGCGCCCAGGAGCUGCAGCGCCUGCCCGAUUUUCCGCGUUUCUUUAAGGAGUAGCGCUUCGGUAGCCGGGGAGCUGGAGGGGGACCUGAUUUGAGAUCAGUUCUUGGAGAUCACAAAGAAGUGUGGUGGUAUGUUCCAGGUGUGAGUUUAAUUUAAAUAUAAGAAGAAGUUUGUCUUACAGACAUUUUGUUUGUGGCUAUUCUUAGCUGCAAUCUGUGGCUGCCAGUUUGAAAACCUAGUAAUGUAAAUUUAUUUUCUUAAGAAAUGCAUUUGCUGUCCUUGUGCAGUUUACUUGAAUUGUAAUUACCUAAUUGAGUGACAAUAAUGACUACUAUUUAUUUAGCCCAUAUAAUGUCCCAGGCAUCAUCAUAAGCACUUUCUUACAUUAUCUUAGACUCUUAUGAUAUGUGUACUAUUAUUCUCAUUUUUCUUCUAGAAGAAGAAACUAAAAUGCAGAGAAUUAAAUACAGAAAAUCACAGAUAUUGUAAGACAGUUGAGUUGGGGCUGGAGUGUAUACAUAACUGAUUCCAAAGCCCAUGUUCUGUC